GCCGACGUAGCUCAAUCGGCAGAGCAUCCGCCUUGUAAGCGGAACGGUGCGGGUUCAAGUCCCGCCGUCGGCU
Molecule: transfer RNA, 73 nt
Filed under: Chloroflexota bacterium
Lineage: Bacteria; Bacillati; Chloroflexota
Description: Chloroflexi bacterium (hot springs metagenome) tRNA-Thr
Rfam family: tRNA
About the family: Transfer RNA (tRNA) molecules are approximately 80 nucleotides in length. Their secondary structure includes four short double-helical elements and three loops (D, anti-codon, and T loops).
Source: RNAcentral